RNAcentral lists this long non-coding RNA (4798 nucleotides) under Populus tremula. Its description in RNAcentral is "long non-coding RNA (PTRE_LNC001950)". Lineage: Eukaryota; Viridiplantae; Streptophyta; Magnoliopsida; Malpighiales; Salicaceae. The record is from RNAcentral.
UUAAUUAUAAGCCUUACACAUUCGCUUGAAUUUUUCUUUAAGCUCCGCCUUGUGCUCACUGUUUGUGAUGCGAAAAUAAUAGUCAGGAUACGUGCUUUGAUCAACACAGUUUGGAGGGGUUGAUGUUCCUAUGGCCAUGAUGGUGGCAGGGCCCUCCGCCCGUUGCGACUUCCGAAUUUCAUCAACGGUCACCAUAUUUUCUUUUUGGUGGCGGCGAAAACCAAGAAAUCAAAUCGAAGGGGUUGAGAGCUGAUCACCGUAACAGUGCCCUGGGUGGUGUAGAUGUGGCAGUGGACUAGCUGCUGGGAGAGUUAGAGAGGGAUGAGUGGGAAAUUCGGAGAGAAUGUGGUCUGUAUAUAUAGCAUAAAAGAGUGAGAGGUUAGCUGAGAUCAAAAUAAGAAGAAGAGGGGUUAGCUGAGAUGUUCACGUGCUGCAUAAAUGCCCUUCUAACCAGUCUACCGAGUAUUUGGUUGGUUUAUAUAUAUAUGCGAUUGUAAUGGAUUUAUAUCACAAAAUAAUUAAAAAUAUGGGCUUUAGUUUAUUACUAAUUUACAUGCUAGCACAUGCUAGCAGUAUACUGCAUGUCAUAUUUUUUUUUAAUAUAAUAAAAAAAAAUUAAGACAUGGAGAAUUAUUUGGUAUUAUUAAAAAUCUUAAAACUUCUCAAUUUGAUUCAUUGUCUAACGUGAGUUUAUAAUUAAAAUCAAGUGAAAUUUUGUUUCGUAUGACUCAUUUAACUUGGUGGAUCUAAAAUUAAUGCAAUUGAUCAAUAAAAAAAUCUAAAAAAAGAUUGAGAUAAAAAUGAUGAACUUUAAUGAAAAAGCCCAUCUCAACUCAAUUUCUUUCCUAGCACAAUUUAAACUUAAGUUUUUUAAAAGUUUACCUAAUAUAACCCUCUUGUUUUGGCUGAUCUAAAGACAACUUGUUCAAUCAAUAAAAUAAAUGAGAAUGAAAUUGAUGGAAAACAAUCGUUUAACUUGGCUCUUUAACUAGCUCGAGUUUAAUAUUAAACUACAUAGGAGUUUCUCCAAUAUAAUUUAAUUGACUUGACAUGUUUAUAAACAAUUCAAUUAACUACUAAAAAAGUAUAAGGAUUUAAUUGAAAAAAAAACAGAUGAAACUAAAAAAAAUGAAAAAACAAGGAUAAAUUGAAUGAAAAAAAAAACACUUCAUGUGGACUUUAAAUACUAAAAAAUAUUACAUUAAUGUCUAACUCAAUAAAAAUAAUAGUUUUGAAACUUCAUCAGGAGUCGAUCCAUGACAAUGCUUAGGUCACAUGUCACUAGUUAAGAGGGUAGACUCAGGUCGACACUAAUCUUUUUUUUUUUUUUUAAAUCAAAACAACAUUAUUAUUAUUUUUAAAAAAAGAAUCAACAAAUUAAUGGUCAUGUUUUGAUCAGUUCAAGUCAUGAUCGACCAAGGCAUCAAGUCAGAACUAAGUUAACUAGGUCAAAUCAAGCUUUUAACUGGAUCAAUUAAUUUUUUUUAUUUUUAUUCAUUUUGGAUAGGUCAAGACUCUAAAUUAACUAGGUGUUGGAUCGAUCUAACAAACCGAUUUAAAUUUUAAAAUAUUUAUAAAGAUAAGAGAUCCAAGAAGAGAAAAAGUCCUUUUAUUUACAUUUAAACCUUUUAUCUUAAGUUCUUAUUGCACUGAUUAAUAAAGAUUUGUUUUUUGAUUCAUACUAGUAAUUAUCUAUAUUUGAUUCUUCAAUCAAUGAGAGACAUGGCGCCUCAUGGAGGUUUUUUUUUUUUUGGGCAUUUAGCUAUUAAAAAUGGGAAAAAAUCUAAAAAUUGUCAAUUUGUUCGCAUCGAUUUUAGUAAGCGAGCUCCCAUUGAAAAGGAUGGGGAAAUAAUUAAUAAUGCAUGUAUAAGUUUUUUAAUCCAGCCCAAUUAGAAUCAAAUUGCAUUAUAUUGUGAGAUAAAUAAUUAAAAUUUUAUAAUCAUAAUUUUUUUUAAAAAAUAAAGAGCUAAAAUAAUCAAUAUUUUUCAGAAAAACAUAAAAUCUCAAGCGACUAGAAAAAAAAUUAAGAACUAAAAUAAGUAAUAAUUCUUAGAAAAAAUAAAACUCCAAGCGACUCAUAAUUUUAUUAAAUAUUAGGAAAUAAUUAAUAAUAAUUUAUUUGAAAACUUUAAAGUGUUUUAAGAAGAAAAUUGAAAAAUUCUCAACCAAUGUUUUGAAAUUGCAUUAAAAUACUAAUAUUUAAUUUUAUAUAAAAAGUUACAAUUUUUUAACAUGUUUGAGAAACUAAAGAUUUUCAAAAUUUCUCAACAGUUAAAAAUUUCAAAGAAAGGACAUUUUAAAAUUUUUAAGAAAUAUAAAAUUAAUUUCAAAAAAGCACAGCCCUUGAUAUUUUUAUUUCUUAGAUAUUUACAAGUUGCAGUCAACUUAAAAUAUAGUACAAUUUAAUCCAAUCUGAUGAAAUCAAUAAAAGUUUAUGAUUACAUCAUAAAAUUUGAUCAAAUGUUUUUCAUGAGGGCUCACUUGUGUUGCCCUAUGUUAUGAGAGAGAGUCAGGGAGUCAAAGGGCAAAGGGCAGCAUGCACGUGAACCAGGAACUAUGGAACGCUAGCUUCCUGUUAGGCAGGUAUUAGGUAAAGAAUGUAAGAUUCAAUUUUGUCAUGCAAAGAGAAUGCCAAAUAAUUUGUGUGAGCUUAUACUUGUCUCUCUCUCUCUCACACACACAAACACGUGCAAGCACGCGCAUAUAUAUAUAUAUAUAUAUAUGAUGAUGAACAGAUUUCUAAACAUUAUUAACAGAUGAAUAAUUCCUUUCGAGUGUCAAAUCACGAGGAAGAACUCAUCAACUUAAAGUCUCCAACCAAUCGUAUAUUUACAUGAUAGUUAGGAAAUGUAAAUUAUAGGAUUCAAACAAAUAAUAUCUUCUUUCUAAUUAACUCCUUGAUUAUUAUUAGCUGAGCUACUAGCUCAUUUGCGUAUUAGUAUAGAGUGAACUUAUAUAUAAUGAGUGUAUAAAAGCGUGGUAAUGAUUGUUUUUUAAAAUAUUUUUUCUUGGAAAUAUAUUAAAAUAAUAUUUUUAUUAUUUUUAAAAAAUUAUUUUUAACAUCAAUAUAUUAAAACGAUGUGAAAAUACUAAAAAAAAAAAACUAAUUUGAUACAAAAAAAUCUAAAAAAAAUAAAAAAAUAUUUUUAAAAUAAAAAAACAAACAAGAUUGUACUAUAUCAGAUACAAAAUUACACGAUUUUUUUUUGUUAGUGCAUGCAAUCAAUUAAAAGAAAAGUUGGUAAGCACGCACCUGAAAACAUCCGAGGGCGGCUUAGAUUUGUAGACUGAAAACCUUAGAACAUAUGUAGUCUCCUGCUUUGCAUGUGUAUUUGAUAGGUUAUUCAUGUAAUUAAAUAAAUUUGAGCUCUAGUAAUUUAAUUUAGUUUUUUUGGUUGCUAUGCAAGAGCUGGGAGAGUUUUCCAAGUGUGUACGUAAUUCAGAGUUCUAGAUCCUAGGAUAUACAAAUAUCAUGAUAUUUUUCAUAAUUAUGAUCCGGAGAUUAAUCCGGAAAAAACAUAUAAGUUAUUGAAUCAUCCACGAAUCAUCAAGUUGGUCCGUAAAUGAAACGACAUCUCAUUUCUGAAACAUCCAAAAAGACGUCGUUUCUAAUGCAAUCUUCUGAGCCAAUUAUAGUUGCCACUUGGCAAAACUUCUCAUCUCCCACCAACCAUUCAUUGUUUUCUUCUCCUUUUCAACUCCCUCUCUCCCAUCAUUUUCUCCAUUUGCAGCGUAUCUACUAAAAUAAUUAGGGUUUUUUAAGCACUGUUUAUAUGAAGAAUUCGUGUCAUAGCUCAGUUAGUUAGCUGUCUAUCUAAGCCUGGAAGUCAUGGGUUUCAGAGCUAGGGAAUCUGAUUUUUUCUUUAAAUAAACGUAAGACAUGUGCUAUCUGUAUUGUUUUUUUUUUUUUUUUUUUUAAUUAUUAAAAAAAAAAAAAAAACAAGCUCAGAUGUACAGCAUGACCUACUACCAGCGGUCAUGUGCUAUGCCUAAUUUUUUUUUUGUUUAUUUUUUUGGUAUUCUAAAUUUGAUUCAAAUUGAUUUUUUUAUUAUUAAAAUUUCUAAAUAAUUUUAUCAUGAUUUCUUUAACUUUCAAUCAUAUAUAAAAUAUCAACAUACUACUUUAAUAUUUUUUUAAAAAAUAAAAAUUAUAUUUUUUUAAUAGAAACAAUAAUUUUAGUUAAAGACUGAUAAUAUUUUCAAGUAAAUAUAUUUUUAAAAUUGAUAAUAAUAAUAUAAAAAAUAUAUACAAGACCCGUACAUUUAAAAAAAAAAAUGGUUUCCCCGUUAGCAGACGAAAUAGUAUAAUCUAUAGCUUUUUAUUUGUCUUUUGUUUUAUAUUUGUACUUCCUUCGUCGUCUUGCUUUGUUCAACGGGAACAGAGAAGGGGAUUCUGGCUGUUUUUUUUUCAACAUUUUUUUCGUUUUUUUUUUGUUAUAUUUAUAAGAUCCUAGAGUCAAUAAUUUUUCAGCAAGUAAUUCUGAUUUUAAUAAUGAAUAUUAUCUUGGAAGAGCAAAUGACCAAAUGUAAAUGAUAGAGUCGAUCAUUAUUUUAGCUUACCUGGUGCAUUAUCUUGCUUAGAAAACUACCGUUUUUUGCUUAGCAGAGGAUUCUGAUGUUUUAUUAUUUUUAAAAUUUUUCUUGAUGAUCUUGCUCUUCAUUGAUAUAUAUAUAUAUAUAUAUAUAUAUAUAUUUUUUUUUUUUUUCCUUUUAACUAAAAUAUGUUAAAGCCUUAAUUCAGUUACUUUUUGUUGGAACUAUUCAGUCUGAAUGAUGGAAAUAGAGGUUUUACGGUGAU